AUUUAGCUGAAAAGUCCUAAACGGGACGAGACGUACGUCCUGAAU
Molecule: non-coding RNA, 45 nt
Organism: Schistosoma margrebowiei
Lineage: Eukaryota; Metazoa; Platyhelminthes; Trematoda; Strigeidida; Schistosomatidae
Source: Rfam